RNAcentral lists this ribosomal RNA (253 nucleotides) under uncultured bacterium. Its description in RNAcentral is "partial 16S ribosomal RNA". It matches the Rfam family "Bacterial small subunit ribosomal RNA", at positions 524 to 776 of the family's 1533-position model. The record is from RNAcentral.
UACGUAGGGUGCGAGCGUUGUCCGGAAUUACUGGGCGUAAAGAGCUCGUAGGUGGUUUGUCGCGUUGUUCGUGAAAACUCACAACUCAAUUGUGGGCGUGCGGGCGAUACGGGCAGACUGGAGUACUGCAGGGGAGACUGGAAUUCCUGGUGUAGCGGUGGAAUGCGCAGAUAUCAGGAGGAACACCGGUGGCGAAGGCGGGUCUCUGGGCAGAUACCGACGCUGAGGCACGAAAGCUAGGGGAGCAAACAGG